CUCUGUCCAUGGAAUUCUCCAGGCAAGAAUACUGGAGUAGUGGGUGCUUCCCUGGCAGUCCAGUGGUUAAGACUUUACCUUCCAAUGUAGGAGGUACAGGUUCACUCCCUGGUCAGGGAGCUAAGAUCCUACUUGCCUUGCAGCCGAAAAACCAAAGCAUCAAACAGAAACAAUAUUG
This is a long non-coding RNA of Cervus elaphus (red deer), 178 nucleotides long. RefSeq lists it as uncharacterized. The record is from RefSeq and is a predicted model, not a curated record. Lineage: Eukaryota; Metazoa; Chordata; Mammalia; Artiodactyla; Cervidae. The transcript is spliced from 3 exons.